Molecule: RNA transcript, 2234 nt
Organism: Oncorhynchus nerka (sockeye salmon)
Lineage: Eukaryota; Metazoa; Chordata; Actinopteri; Salmoniformes; Salmonidae
Gene name: ATP-dependent DNA helicase PIF1-like
Exons: 6
Source: RefSeq, a predicted model, not a curated record
GGCCGGGGUAGGGGUAGCCAGUUGGAGAGCAUGGCCAGCCGUAGAAAAAUGCUUAUUGAAAUGAUUGAUUAUCAUAGAUUUAUCAGUGGUGACAGUGUUUCCUAUCCUCAGUGCAGUGGGCAGCUGGAAGUUGCUCUUAUUCUCCAUGGAUUUUAGUGUCCCAAAACUUUUUGGAAUUAGUGCUACAGGAUGCAAAUUUCUGUUGAAAAAGCUAGCCUUAGCUUUCCUAACUGACAGAGUAUAUUGGUUCCUGACUUCCCUGAAAAGGUGCAUAUCGCUGGGGCUAUUCGAUGCUAAUGCACAACGCCACAGGAUGUUAGUCAAGGGCAGUCAAGUCUUAGGUGAACCAAGGGCUAUAUCUGUUCUUAGUUCUACAUUUUUUGAAUGGGGCAUGCUUAUUUAAGAUGGUGAGGAAAGCACUUUUAAAGAGCAACCAGGCAUCUUCUACUGCCGGAAUGAGGUCAAUAUCCUUCCAGGACAGCCGGGUCAGGUUGAUUAGAAAGGUCUGCUCGCUGAAGUGUUUUAGGGAGCGUUUGACAUGAGGGGUGGUCGUUUGACCGCGAACCCAUUACGCACACAGGCAAUGAGGCAGUGAUCGCUGAGAUCCUAGUUGAAGACAGCAGAGGUGUAUUUAGAGGGCAAGAUGACGAUAAAAGCCUCAUACAUUAGUAAUAGUAAAAUGGUGACCUCUCCUUGACAUCUAUUCUAGAAUCUGGCGGAAGUGGAUCCAGCUGAACAUGGAACUGACUGAGGUGCGUAGGCAGGCGGACCAGUCCUUCAUCUCCCUCCUGCAGGCAGUGAGAGUGGGCAGAGUCACAGAGGAGGUCACUGCCAUGUUGAUGGAGAGCGCCUAUCACAAGAUCGAGCUGGACGGUAUCCUGGUAACCAGGCUGUGCACUCACAAGGUCGAUGUGGAGAUGACUAAUGACAAGAAGCUCCAGCAGCUGUCAGGUCAUGCUCACAAAGAACCCGGACUUCCAAAGGGGCCUGGUCAACGGGGCUCGAGCAGGGCAAGACGCUGGACUGUGUGGAGAUCUCCGUGGCGAGGGUCUUCGAGAGAGGCCAGGCCUACCUGGUUCUGUCUCAAGCCAGGAGUCUGGAGGACCUAAGGGUCAUGGACUUUAAUCCCCGUGUGGUCCGAGCCGACCCCGAUGUGCUGUUCUUCUACGGGAAGUGGAGGAAAGAGUGAGUACUGCUACAGAAGCCGCCUCCAACGUAAUUUUAGAGAAUUUGGCAGUACAUCCAACCUGCUUCACAACCGCAGACCACGUGUAACCAUGCUAGCCCAGGACCUCCACAUCUGGCUUCUUCACCUGCGGGAUCGUCUGAGACCAGACAGCUGAUGAAACUGAGAAGUCUUUUUGUCUGUAAUAAAGCCCUUUUGUGGAGGAAAACUAAUUCUGAUUGACUGGGCCUGGCUACCCAGUGGAUGGGCCUAUGCCACCCAUGGCUGCGCCCCUGCCCAGUCAUGUGAAAUCCAUAAAUUAGGGCCUAAUGAAUUUAUUUCAAUUGACUGAUUUCCAUAUGAACUGUAACUCAGUAAAAUUGUUGCAUGUUGCGUUUAUAUAUUUGUUCAAUAUACAAACCUUUGAAGCAAUGGGGAGUGUCCAAGUAGUUUCUCACAUCUUCCUUUGUGUAUUUUUUUGUCUUUGCACCUCAUACAAAGUCUGAGGUGACCUUUACUGUUAUCCUACUGUGUACUGCCACCCUGUGUUAGAAAAGGUUCAUUGAUGUCCAUAAAUCCAGCCUAGUUUAAUCACCCCGUUGAGGGUUGGUCAGGUCCGGCAUUAAUGAUGUGUGUCGUGUCCAAUCUUCCACUACUCUGUGUCCAAAGCAAAAGGCUCAGAUCUCUUUCUCUCUGCAGGCCUCGGUGGAUAAGUUUGUGGGCAGAAAUAACUAUGAGAACUAUUGGACAAUGACCCAUAACACACUUUCAGUGUGUGUAAGUGCCAUUUGACAUGGUUUGGAAUGAGUUGGACCGCAGAGUGAAGGAAAAGCAGCCAGCAAGUGCUCAGCAUAUGUGGGAACUCAAGAAGCUGGUGGAGAGAAUGCCAAGAGCAUGCAAAGCUGUCAUCAAGGCAAAGGAGAAUAAAAUAUAUAUUGAUUUGUUUAACACUUUGUUUACUACAUGUUAUUUCAUAGUUGAUGUCUUCAGUACUAUUCUACAAUGUAGAAAAUAUAUAUUUUUAAAUAAAUCAGAACCUUGGAAUGAAUAGGUGUGUCCAAACUUUUAA